CUGGUUUGUUUCUCUAUUCCG
This 21-nucleotide microRNA is filed under the name Marchantia polymorpha subsp. ruderalis. Lineage: Eukaryota; Viridiplantae; Streptophyta; Marchantiopsida; Marchantiales; Marchantiaceae. The record is from RNAcentral.